CGUUAGCAGACGUCAGUGUCGGCGCGCCCACCCGCCGGCGUCCGACAGCGCAGCACCGACUCGCCGCACACGAGUAGCGCACACAACAGCUGCAAGCGAGCCUGUUGUUAUUGUUACAGCCACCAUACGCAGACUAGAUCAAUAACGUACAUAGUCUGAGCGCCACGUAAUUCGGCCCUGACCCUCAAGCCACAGGCACGAGCGCAGCAUGCGGCUGAUCAUCCUGGAGGACGCGGGCGUGGUGGCGGACUGGGCGGCGCGCUUCGUGCUGCAGCGCAUCACGCAGUUCGCGCCCGGCCCCGGCCGCCACUUCGUGCUGGGGCUGCCCACGGGCGGCACGCCGCUCGGCAUGUACCGCCGCCUCAUCGACUUCUACAAAGAAGGCCGCCUCUCUUUCAAAUACGUCACUACCUUCAAUAUGGACGAGUAUGUCGGUCUACCGCGCGACCACCCGGAGUCGUACCACUACUACAUGUGGAACGAGUUCUUCAAGCACGUGGACAUCGAGCCGGGCAACGCGCACGUGCUGGACGGCAAUGCGUCCGACCUGGUGGCCGAGUGCAAGCGCUUCGAGGAGCUGAUCGCGGCCGCGGGGGGCGUGCACCUGUUCAUCGGCGGCAUCGGGCCGGACGGGCACAUCGCCUUCAACGAGCCCGGCUCGUCGCUGGUCUCCCGCACGCGCGUCAAGACGCUCGCCUACGACACGCUGGAGGCCAACAAGCGCUUCUUUGGCAACGACAUCAGCAAGGUGCCGCGCCAGGCGCUCACGGUGGGCGUGGGCACCGUCAUGGACGCCAAGGAGGUGAUGAUCCUCAUCACGGGCGCGCACAAGGCGCUGGCGCUGGCCAAGGCGGUGGAGGAGGGCGUCAACCACAUGUGGACGGUGUCGGCCUUCCAGCAGCACUCGCAGGCGCUGUUCGUGUGCGACGAGGACGCCACGCUCGAGCUGCGCGUCAAGACCGUCAAGUACUUCAAGGCGCUGAGCGAGGAGCAUCAGCGGAUGAUCCAGCGCCGCGUCGAGGAGCAGCGCGUCAUACACUGACCUCACUCGCAUUCCACCACCACCGGCUCAACUAACCUCUCGUCGAGUGACUGCCUUAGCAACGCACACUCAUGGAUACAGAUGCUGCACUGUAGAGCAUCGCGUGUCCGUGAGCGUGUUGUCGUAAAACACUCGCCAUGAUGCGGUUAUGUUGCAGAGCCUCAUGACGGAGCACAACAAGCUGCUCGAGAUCAUCGCGCGGUGACUCCGGCGCCGCCCCGCUACCGACGCGCGCCUUACAUCUUAUAUACAAUGUUAUCAAUUUUAUAUUAUAUCGAUCUAAUUAAAGAAUACAUUUUUAUACUGUAA
Helicoverpa zea (corn earworm) is the source of this 1351-nucleotide RNA transcript. It is a transcript of the gene named glucosamine-6-phosphate isomerase, with no coding region annotated. Lineage: Eukaryota; Metazoa; Arthropoda; Insecta; Lepidoptera; Noctuidae. The transcript has 5 exons. The record is from RefSeq and is a predicted model, not a curated record.